This 68-nucleotide transfer RNA is filed under the name Aeromonas veronii. Its description in RNAcentral is "tRNA-Val". The stretch from base 1 to 58 matches the Rfam family "tRNA". Rfam says of the family: Transfer RNA (tRNA) molecules are approximately 80 nucleotides in length. Their secondary structure includes four short double-helical elements and three loops (D, anti-codon, and T loops). Further hydrogen bonds mediate the characteristic L-shaped molecular structure. tRNAs have two regions of fundamental functional importance: the anti-codon, which is responsible for specific mRNA codon recognition, and the 3' end, to which the tRNAs corresponding amino acid is attached (by aminoacyl-tRNA synthetases). tRNAs cope with the degeneracy of the genetic code in two manners: having more than one tRNA (with a specific anti-codon) for a particular amino acid; and 'wobble' base-pairing, i.e. permitting non-standard base-pairing at the 3rd anti-codon position. The record is from RNAcentral. Lineage: Bacteria; Pseudomonadati; Pseudomonadota; Gammaproteobacteria; Aeromonadales; Aeromonadaceae.
GGUCGUUUAGCUCAGCUGGGAGAGCACCUCCCUUACAAGGAGGGGGUCACAAUGAUUUAGAUGGGUCG